CCUGAGCCGCCAUUUCACGGUCAGUUAAGCCACCACAGAUUUGAAUAAUACGAUCCGAUAAUGUGGAUUUUCCAUGGUCGAUAUGUGCAAUGAUCGAAAAGUUUCUGAUGUUUUUGAUUUUCAAGGUAAUAUCUUCUUUUAAAUUGCCUUACAAAAUCAGUUUUGAGCAAAUUUCGCUACAAAACUAAAAUGCUAUGAUUAUCACAAGAUUGCUAAUUAGCAGCAUUUUACAUACAAGAACCCACUAACACAAAGAUUCAAUGUAAAACAACUGUAAACUUGCCAAAGUUUAAUAAGUUACUUAUUUCAUUUUUUUUCAUUUUGAACGACUAAAAACAAAAUCGCCUGUAGUGAAAAGCAUAACUACAGGCGAUUAAGGUAUACAGUGACAUUCAACAAUGUGCUUGAACGCUGAUUUCCCCAGGAGGCAGUCCUAUUUGUAACACGAUAGGCUCAAAGUCGAUUUUAUUUCGCCAGCGAGAAGCCACUUUUCUUGCCGUAAAAAAGCCAACAAAACCGCCUAAAAUACCAGUUAGAGCAACCCAAACUUGCUCUAACUGAGCUGAUUGAGCCAAUGCAGAAAAUAAAAAUAGUCCGAUUAAUGGUGUUAAAUAGACUAGCAUUGCUGAGCGAAGUAAGCUUCCCUCAGGAAUACCAACUUCAAUUUUUUGCCCCACGACUAAUGGCUGCUCAACGUCAAUUUCCAACUCAUGCUCUGUGUUAGGUCCGAUUUUAUUUAAGGCAUAAGAGCCACAGGCUGCGCGAGCACUGCAACUUCCACAACCAGCAGACGAACCAUAACGCAAUAAUGCUCGCCCCUUUUGCCACCUAACCACUGUUGCCCAUUCUUUUACCAUGAUUUACUCCCGAAACUGAAUGCU
This 881-nucleotide non-coding RNA is filed under the name Providencia alcalifaciens. Lineage: Bacteria; Pseudomonadati; Pseudomonadota; Gammaproteobacteria; Enterobacterales; Morganellaceae. The record is from RNAcentral.